UUUCCGUAGGUGAACCUGCGGAAGGAUCAUUACAAAUCUCUGCGAGUGCUGGGCUUGCCUAGUAACUCACAUUAGCACAGGGUCGCAAGGCUCUGAUGUUUACGCUUGUUUGUUUGACAGAGUUAGUUGAGAAUAUAAUAAAGACAACUUUUAACAAUGGAUCUCUUGGCUCUU
RNAcentral lists this unclassified non-coding RNA (174 nucleotides) under plant metagenome. RNAcentral describes it as "partial contains small subunit ribosomal RNA, internal transcribed spacer 1, and 5.8S ribosomal RNA". The record is from RNAcentral.